This 253-nucleotide ribosomal RNA is filed under the name uncultured bacterium. RNAcentral describes it as "partial 16S ribosomal RNA". It matches the Rfam family "Bacterial small subunit ribosomal RNA", at positions 524 to 776 of the family's 1533-position model. The record is from RNAcentral.
UACGGAGGAUGCGAGCGUUAUCCGGAUUUAUUGGGUUUAAAGGGUGCGUAGGCGGGCUAAUAAGUCAGUGGUGAAAAGUUCCAGCUCAACUGGGAUCUUGCCAUUGAAACUGUAAGUCUUGAGUGAAGUGAAGGUAGGCGGAAUGUGUAAUGUAGCGGUGAAAUGCUUAGAUAUUCCACAGAACACCAAUUGCGAAGGCAGCUUACUGUCCUUCAACUGACGCUAAAGCACGAAAGCGUGGUUAUCAAACAGG